AUUGAACGCUGGCGGCAGGCCUAACACAUGCAAGUCGAACGAGUGGCGGACGGGUGAGUAAUGUCUGGGAAACUGCCUGAUGGAGGGGGAUAACUACUGGAAACGGUAGCUAAUACCGCAUACCAUCAGAUGUGCCCAGAUGGGAUUAGCGAGUUGGUGGGGUAACGGCUCACCAAGGCGACGAGCCCUAGCUGGCCUGAGAGGAUGACCAGCCAAACUGGAACUGAGACACGGUCCAGACUCCUACGGGAGGCAGCAGUGGGGAACAUUGCAAAAUGGGCGAAAGCCGGAUGCAGCCAUGCCGCGUGGGUUAAGAAGGCCUUCGGGUUGUAAAGUACUUUCAGCGGGGAGGCGUUACCCGCAGAGGAAGCACCGGCUAACUCCGUGCCAGCAGCCGCGGUAAUUC
Molecule: ribosomal RNA, 406 nt
Filed under: uncultured bacterium
Lineage: Bacteria
Description: partial 16S ribosomal RNA
Rfam family: Bacterial small subunit ribosomal RNA
Source: RNAcentral